CUCCAGUGGUAGAGCACCGCCCUUGUGAAGCGGAGGUCCCGGGUUCGAAUCCCU
Molecule: transfer RNA, 54 nt
Filed under: uncultured Pyramimonas
Lineage: Eukaryota; Viridiplantae; Chlorophyta; Pyramimonadophyceae; Pyramimonadales
Source: RNAcentral